This 500-nucleotide ribosomal RNA is filed under the name uncultured eukaryote. RNAcentral's name for it is "SSU rRNA". It matches the Rfam family "Eukaryotic small subunit ribosomal RNA", at positions 1 to 1265 of the family's 1831-position model. The record is from RNAcentral.
AUGGUCUAAAAAAGCCUGCAUGGUCUCAGUAUAAGCUUCUAUACGGCGAAACUGCGAAUGGCUCAUUAAAACAGUUAUAGUUUAUUUGAUGAUCAUUCAUUACAUGGAUAACUGUGGUAAUUCUAGAGCUAAUACAUGCGCUCAAACCCGACUUUGCGGAAGGGUUGUGUUUAUUAAAUACAAAACCAACCCAGGCUCUGCCUGGUCUUGUGGUGAUUCAUAAUAACCGAACGAAUCGCAUGGCGUCAGCUGGCGAUGAAUCAUUCAAGUUUCUGACCUAUCAGCUUCCGACGGUAGGGUAUUGGCCUACCGUGGCAAUGACGGGUAACGGAGAAUUAUAGUUCGAUUCCGGGGGGAGUAUGAUCGCAAGGCUGAAACUUAAAGGAAUUGACAGAAGGGCACCACCAUGAGUGGAGCCUGCGGCAAAAUUUGACUCAACACGGGGAAACUUACCAUGUCCAGACAUAGUAAGGAUUGACAGAUUGAUAGCUCUUUCUUGA